GAUCAUGGCUCAGAAUCAACGCUGGCGGCGUGCCUCAGACAUGCAAGUCGAACGAUUAAACUUUCCUUCGGGAAAGAUAUAAAGUGGCGCACGGGUGAGUAACACGUAGGUAAUCUACCUUUGAGUGGGGAAUAACAAUCGGAAACGAUUGCUAAUACCGCAUAAUGCAGCGGCACCGCAAGGUGACAGUUGUUAAAGGAGCAAUCCGCUUAAAGAGGAGCCUGCGGCAGAUUAGCUAGUUGG
This 243-nucleotide ribosomal RNA is filed under the name uncultured bacterium. RNAcentral describes it as "partial 16S ribosomal RNA". It matches the Rfam family "Bacterial small subunit ribosomal RNA", at positions 15 to 252 of the family's 1533-position model. The record is from RNAcentral.